AUUGAACGCUGGCGGCAGGCCUAACACAUGCAAGUCGAAUGGUAACAGGAAACAGCUUGCUGUUUCGCUGACGAGUGGCGGACGGGUGAGUAAUGUCUGGGAAACUGCCUGAUGGAGGGGGAUAACUACUGGAAACGGUAGCUAAUACCGCAUAACGUCGCAAGACCAAAGAGGGGGACCUUCGGGCCUCUUGCCAUCAGAUGUGCCCAGAUGGGAUUAGCUAGUAGGUGGGGUAACGGCUCACCUAGGCGACGAUCCCUAGCUGGUCUGAGAGGAUGACCAGCCACACUGUAACUGAGACACGGUCCAGACUCCUACGGGAGGCAGCAGUGGGGAAUAUUGCACAAUGGGCGCAAGCCUGAUGCAGCCAUGCCGCGUGUAUGAAGAAGGCCUUCGGGUUGUAAAGUACUUUCAGCGGGGAGGAAGGGAGUAAAGUUAAUACCUUUGCUCAUUGACGUUACCCGCAGAAGAAGCACCGGCUAACUCCGUG
RNAcentral lists this ribosomal RNA (490 nucleotides) under uncultured bacterium. Its description in RNAcentral is "partial 16S ribosomal RNA". It matches the Rfam family "Bacterial small subunit ribosomal RNA", at positions 30 to 507 of the family's 1533-position model. The record is from RNAcentral.